GAUGAAGAACGCAGCGAAAUGCGAUAAGUAGUGUGAAUUGCAGAAUUCAGUGAAUCAUCGAAUCCUUGAACGCACAUUGCGCCCCUUGGUAUUCCAUGGGGCAUGCCUGUUCGAGCGUCAUUUGUACCUUCAAGCUUUGCUUGGUGUUGGGUGUUUGUCUCGCCUUUGCGUGUAGACUCGCCUUAAAAUAAUUGGCAGCCGGCGUAUUGAUUUCGGAGCGCAGUACAUCUCGCGCUUUGCACUCAUAACGACAGCGUCCAAAAGUACAUUUUACACUCUUGACCUCGGAUCAGGUAGGGAUACCCGCUGAACUUAAGCAUAUCAAUAAGCGGAGGA
RNAcentral lists this unclassified non-coding RNA (336 nucleotides) under soil metagenome. Its description in RNAcentral is "partial contains 5.8S ribosomal RNA, internal transcribed spacer 2, and large subunit ribosomal RNA". The stretch from base 1 to 120 matches the Rfam family "5.8S ribosomal RNA", at positions 35 to 154 of the family's 154-position model. The record is from RNAcentral.